This 157-nucleotide non-coding RNA is filed under the name Rhodospirillales bacterium. RNAcentral's name for it is "6S RNA". It matches the Rfam family "6S / SsrS RNA". From Rfam's summary of the family: E. coli 6S RNA was the first non coding RNA to be sequenced, but its function was unknown until recently. Lineage: Bacteria; Pseudomonadati; Pseudomonadota; Alphaproteobacteria; Rhodospirillales. The record is from RNAcentral.
CGGGCGCUGCCCCGUUUGUCAGGUCUCUAUAUUCCCUUGGCCAAUAACACAGUCCUCGGGAGCUGUCCCUGCCAGAGCCUUGGUUCUGGCAUAUGGUGCCCACCUUAACAUGAGGGCCUCGGAGAAUAAGACAGACCAACGGCCGGGUGGCCCCGCC